RNAcentral lists this ribosomal RNA (446 nucleotides) under Bifidobacterium bifidum. RNAcentral's name for it is "bacterial SSU rRNA". It matches the Rfam family "Bacterial small subunit ribosomal RNA", at positions 214 to 670 of the family's 1533-position model. The record is from RNAcentral. Lineage: Bacteria; Bacillati; Actinomycetota; Actinomycetes; Bifidobacteriales; Bifidobacteriaceae.
AUCGGCGUGGGANGGGGUCGCGUCCUAUCAGCUUGUUGGUGAGGUAACGGCUCACCAAGGCUUCGACGGGUAGCCGGCCUGAGAGGGCGACCGGCCACAUUGGGACUGAGAUACGGCCCAGACUCCUACGGGAGGCAGCAGUGGGGAAUAUUGCACAAUGGGCGCAAGCCUGAUGCAGCGACGCCGCGUGAGGGAUGGAGGCCUUCGGGUUGUAAACCUCUUUUGUUUGGGAGCAAGCCUUCGGGUGAGUGUACCUUUCGAAUAAGCGCCGGCUAACUACGUGCCAGCAGCCGCGGUAAUACGUAGGGCGCAAGCGUUAUCCGGAUUUAUUGGGCGUAAAGGGCUCGUAGGCGGCUCGUCGCGUCCGGUGUGAAAGUCCAUCGCUUAACGGUGGAUCUGCGCCGGGUACGGGCGGGCUGGAGUGCGGUAGGGGAGACUGGAAUUCC